GCCCUGACCUUUACAUUGGUGUUUUCUAAAGAAACAAAUUAUCAACGCAAUUAUCGUGCCAAAUUGGCCAGGGCAACGAUUUCUGGUCCUUGCCGUGUUACAGACCCAGGAAAGUGUGUGAAUAUACACGGAAAAUGCGAUGGUAAUAAGUAUCAAGCUCCAGAAUGUCAAAUGCCAUCAGUCUGUUGUGUCAGGUCCAGAAGCGUAUAUAAGAAAAUUGAGGGCUUAGAUUCGAGCUAUUUUGAAUGAUUCUGAUGCUGAUUCAAUACAGAUCCGCUAUUGGUUCUUUUGUCUAAAAUAAAAUGCAUAAAAUCCCCUA
Long non-coding RNA from Drosophila persimilis, 319 nucleotides. RefSeq lists it as uncharacterized. The record is from RefSeq and is a predicted model, not a curated record. Lineage: Eukaryota; Metazoa; Arthropoda; Insecta; Diptera; Drosophilidae. The transcript has 2 exons.